UUCAAACUCUUCUCAUCGGAAAUUUUACUCCAAAGAAAAAACCAUUUUCUUUCUUCAUCUCUCCAAUCUAUCUGCUUAAUCAAAAACAGAUCUUUAUCAAUCAAAAUCAUUUUUUUCUUCAUCUCUCAAAUCCAUCUGCUAUUUCACAUAAAUGAACAUAUCUUCAUGAACCAAAACAAUUAACAGAUCUCCAAUACAUCUACUUCAUGUAUUGGAUGAUUCUUGUUCUUCUUUGGUAUUAUCUAGAUCCGCAAAUUUCUCAGAGAGAAAAAGAUUUGUGCCGAUAAUGGAAGGUGCUUCUUACACCGGGCUUCGUUUUGUACUUCAAUCAACUACUGGAUGAGUCAUCUUCAUCUGAAUUUACUUAGAUGUAUAUGAUGAAAGAAAAUGAGAAACCACUGGUGGUGGUAAAUCAAUGUUUUCAAGAAAGCGCUGUGGUGGAGGUUGUAUGGGCUGAACUGGUGGCGGUAAAUGGGAGAGGGAAUCCGAAUAGCUCGAGAGAGUGCUGGUGGUGAUGGCAUUGUGACUCGGCUCCCACUUGCUUACAACUACAUCAGAUUGAUGAAGGAAAAAAGCAUGGGUAAUUACGUCACCUUCAGAUGUUGUGAGAGCUCUUAUUGUUGCUCGGAUUGUGUAUGCAUGCUACUUUCUAUUUGGAUAUCCGAAGCACUGUAGAAGUAAAAAUGCAGACUUCCAGGGCUCUACUGAUUUAGCCUCUAAAGGACAGAUUCAUUCAUCAUUUCACAAUGCAAAAUUCAAGGAUGUAGUUGUUGACUCUCGUAAUAUAAAUAUGAAGGUUCAGUGUCCUUGUGGAAGCUCAUUGUAAAGAGUGUCAAUGAUUCAGGUUGCACGGGAGGUGUAGGUCGAGGUAAUGUUUGAGAAACGUAGUUAGUGGUGGCUGUAAAGGCAGGGAUGGGUAUUCUGAUGGCAGCUUUGCUACUGUCGGUAUUGCGAAAUGCUGAUUUUCCUUGUGAACUUGGUAGUGGAAGUGGCAAUGAUAGCUUUAAUGGAUCUGCUGUUUUGGUAAGUUUCUCUUUGCGAACUUCUGAGUUUGAUGCUUAUGUUGAUUCCUUACUUGAGUUCUAACUCCAUUUACCAUGCUUGUUAUCAAUUUUCUUGACCUGAUACAAUUCUUUUGAAUGCAUACUUUGACUAAAAUGGUCCUCCAUGGGAUUAUAACUUUUCUUUAUCCUUGUUUUUCAAUUAUCAUUAUUAUUUUUUUGAUAAUGCAUACACUGAAGUAAUCUUUGUUUGUAUUUAAGUAAGACAAACAGAAAGAAUUGUAAUUUCCCGAAUUGCAAAUGUUGAGUUCAAUUAGUGUUAUAGAAAAACUAGGGCUUAACCCGUGCCGUAACGGCACCGGCCUUGAUCUAUGUUGAGUUGUAACAACUAAAGAAUCAUAUGGGCCCUAAUUUCAAUUUUUUGUAUGAUCAUUUUGUUUCCAGUCUCGUUUAGAUAACUCAGCAUUUUUAAUCAUCUA
This is a long non-coding RNA of Papaver somniferum (opium poppy), 1480 nucleotides long. RefSeq lists it as uncharacterized. Lineage: Eukaryota; Viridiplantae; Streptophyta; Magnoliopsida; Ranunculales; Papaveraceae. The record is from RefSeq and is a predicted model, not a curated record. The transcript has 7 exons.